This 8369-nucleotide long non-coding RNA is filed under the name Cucumis sativus (cucumber). Its description in RNAcentral is "long non-coding RNA (CSAT_LNC000557)". The record is from RNAcentral. Lineage: Eukaryota; Viridiplantae; Streptophyta; Magnoliopsida; Cucurbitales; Cucurbitaceae.
GACAUUACAGGUGAUAUAGAAUUGAAAGAUGUUCAUUUUAGCUAUCCUACGAGACCAAAUGAGAAUAUUUUCAAUGGAUUUUCCCUAAAAAUUCCGAGUGGGACGACUGCUGCUUUGGUUGGGCAAAGUGGAAGUGGAAAAUCAACUGUGAUAAGUUUGAUUGAGAGAUUCUAUGAUCCAAGUAUGGGUGAAGUUCUUAUUGAUGGCAUCAACCUCAAAGAGUUUCAACUAAAAUGGAUUAGAAGCAAAAUUGGUCUUGUCAGCCAAGAACCUGUUUUGUUUGCAUCUAGCAUAAAGGAUAACAUCGCCUAUGGAAAAGAUGGUGCAACCAUGGAAGAGAUAAAAGCAGCAGCUGAACUUGCCAAUGCGUCAAAAUUUAUCGACAAACUACCCCAGGUGUCAACAUUUGCUAUGAGUUUAAUGCAUAAAUGGUAUGUUUUCGAAUGUUUUUCUAAUACUAAGAGCUUGAUUGCAUUCAGGGACUGGACACACUUGUUGGUGCUCAUGGAACUCAACUUUCUGGUGGUCAAAAGCAAAGAGUUGCCAUUGCUAGAGCAAUUUUGAAAGAUCCACGAAUCUUACUUCUAGAUGAAGCUACAAGUGCACUUGAUGCUGAAUCCGAGCAUGUCGUGCAAGAGGCAUUGGACCGAAUCAUGGUUAAUCGAACUACGGUAAUUGUUGCACAUCGUCUAAGCACCGUAAGAAAUGCAGAUAUGAUUGCUGUCAUUCAUAAAGGAAAGAUGGUUGAAAAAGGUACCAAGAAGUUGUCUUUUCUUUUUGUUCUAUCACUCCCAUAUUGCUACCCUAUUGGGUGGAUUAUGAUCUGGUAGUGUGGUCCGUUUUGAUUGAUUAAACUAUUUUCUACACCAAUAAGUUUCUGAUCUCUUUAAGUCUGAUAGGUUGACUUUGAUUUAUCAGGCUCUCACACAGAACUACUUAAGGAUCCUGAAGGACCUUACUCACAACUUAUUAAGCUGCAAGAAGUCAACCAAGAGUCUCAAGAAGCUGGAAUUGAUAAAGUUAAACAAGAAAGUAUAUCGGGAUCGUUUAGACGAUAUAGCAAAGGAGUGUUGAUGGCACGAUCCAUUAGUAGAGGAUCAUCUGGUGUAGGUAACAGCAGCCGCCACUCUUUCUCAGUUUCAUUUGGUUUACCUGCGGGAGUUCCUAUUACAGAUGUUCCAAUGGCUGAUGAAAGUGCAUCUGUCGACACCAAAGAACGAUCACCUCCAGUCCCACUUCGUCGACUUGCACUCCUCAAUAAGCCUGAAAUUCCCAUACUUGUACUUGGAUCUGUGGCUGCCAUCAUCAAUGGUGUCAUUCUUCCACUUUUCGGGUUAAUAUUUGCCAAUGCCAUCGAAACAUUUUACAAACCGCCGGAUAAACUCAAAAAGGAUUCUAGAUUUUGGGCAUUGAUAAUGAUGUUGCUUGGUAUAGCGUCAUUAGUGGCAGCUCCAGCAAGAACAUACUUCUUUUCUGUGGCUGGUUGCAAGUUAAUACAACGGAUUAGAUUGCUUUGUUUUCAAAACAUAGUUAACAUGGAGGUUGGUUGGUUUGAUAGAACCGAAAAUUCUAGUGGUUCAAUAGGUGCUAGGCUCUCAGCAAAUGCUGCAACUGUGCGUGCACUGGUUGGGGAUGCACUAAGUCAACUUGUUGAGAAUCUCGCAGCAGUUACAGCUGGUUUAGUCAUUGCUUUUGCUUCAAGUUGGCAGUUGGCUUUUAUAGUCCUCGCCAUGUUUCCACUUCUUGGGCUUAACGGCUAUGUACAAAUGAAGUUUUUGAAAGGAUUUAGUGCAGAUGCAAAGGUAGAAUCUUAAACUAACUAAUAUGUAGGUUGAAGUGUUACUAUAAUUAUUCAUUGACAUUGUUUAUUGCUUGGCAGUUGAUGUACGAACAAGCCAGCCAGGUUGCUACCGAUGCGGUGGGGAGUAUAAGAACAGUCGCAUCAUUUUGUGCAGAAGAAAAGGUGAUGCUACUUUACAAAAAGAAAUGUGAAGGUCCAAUGAAGGCAGGAAUAAGACAAGGUUUGAUCAGUGGGACUGGAUUUGGAGUAUCAUUCUUUUUAUUGUUUGCAGUCUAUGCUGCAACAUUCUUUGCCGGUGCUCAUUUCGUUCAAGAUGGCAAAGCCACUUUCUCUGACAUUUUUCGAGUAAGUACCUGUUGAACUGAUGAUCCUUUCUUUCUUUCGUAAUCGACAACACAAGCCUUGUUUAUUAGUUGCUAGUUAGUAAUCAUAAAUGUCAUUGGCAGGUUUUCUUUGCUUUGACAAUGGCUGCUUUUGCCAUUUCUCAAUCAAGUUCACUUGCACCUGAUUCUACCAAAGCAAAAGAAGCCACUGCUUCCAUAUUUUCCAUGAUUGAUCGUAAAUCAGAAAUCAAUCCGAGUGUUGAAACAGGCGAAACAUUGGAAAAUUUUAAGGGUGAGAUCGAGUUUCGACAUGUAAGUUUCAAGUAUCCUUCUAGACCAGAUGUUCAAAUUCUUCGAGACCUCAGCUUGACCAUCCGAUCUGGGAAGGUAUAUAUUUUUUACUUUUCCUAUUACUUUAAUUUUAAUUUUUAUCUGAAAAAUCUAUGUGCAAGUUUUCAUUUUGGUUUCUCUAUGGGCUUCCUUUUUUCUAGACUGUUGCUCUAGUUGGAGAAAGUGGUUGUGGAAAAUCCACUGUCAUCUCUCUAUUACAAAGGUUUUAUGAUCCUGAUUCUGGUAGCAUAACACUUGAUGGAAUUGAGAUUCACAAGUUUCAAGUUAAAUGGUUGAGACAACAAAUGGGUUUAGUGAGCCAAGAACCGAUCCUUUUCAAUGACACGAUCCGAGCUAACAUAGCAUAUGGGAAGGGAGGAGAUGCAACGGAGACUGAAAUAAUCGCUGCAGCUGAAUUGUCCAAUGCUCACAAGUUCAUCAGUAGUUUGCAUCAGGUGAGAAAAAUGAAUACUUUUGUUGUUCAUCAUCAUAUAACUUCUUCAUAUAUGUAAUUAUCAUACUUCUUCACGACUAGAACACUCCUUGAUUGUGAAUAAAAUAACACUAUAAAGAGUUCAAGCACAGAACAUUCAUUAAAUAUUUUAACAAACUCAUGAAUGCAAUAUGAGCAGGGCUAUGACUCGAUGGUGGGAGAGAGAGGAGCUCAACUAUCGGGAGGGCAGAAGCAACGAGUAGCAAUUGCACGAGCGAUAAUCAAGAGCCCGAAGAUCUUGUUGUUAGAUGAGGCGACGAGUGCACUUGAUGCAGAAUCAGAAAGAGUGGUUCAAGAUGCAUUGGACAAGGUGAUGGUGAACAGAACAACCAUAGUGGUAGCUCAUAGAUUAAGUACUGUGAAAAAUGCUGAUAUAAUUGCAGUGGUAAAAAAUGGAGUGAUAGUUGAAAAAGGAAAGCAUGAUAGUUUGAUUAAUAUCAAAGAUGGAUUUUAUGCUUCCUUAGUUCAACUUCACACAAAUGCUUCAUCUUCAUCAGCAGCAUAAUCACCAUUUUCUUCAACCUAUGUUUUUCUUUUAUACAUACAUGUAUAAUCUUGUAUUUUUAUUUUGAAAGAGUGAAGAGUGUUAGUAAUUCUUUUUGUUUUUUAUUGGUGGGGGGGAUUUCUAAUGGAUUAUAUUAUCAAAUAUUGGUACUGCCCAAGUGAUGCAUCCAAAAAUACUCAACACAAGUUGUAUGGGUUAAGUUUAAUGUAGUGAAAGAGUGAGCUUAAUUCUUUGAAUUGUUGUGUUAGUUCAAUUAAAUACUACCCAAUGGACCAUUUAAUUAGGACAAACUGGGGAUUAAAAGGCAUCCUAAUUUCCCUUUUUCUUUACAAUAUUCAUAAUCAAAAACAUCUCAAUCACUUAUUAUCCUUGGAUUCUCUUUAGGUCUAUUAUUUUAUUUCUAUUAUGCAAUAUAAUAUAUAUUCAUUUACUUUAAGCAACCCAAAUAAUUCAAGGCUAAUCCUUAUAUUAAAAUUUAUGAAACAAAGCAAGUCGUAGAUGGCUCAUUUCUUUAAGUUUCUUCUUUCGUCAUAUAUAUGAGUUCCAAGUUUUCAAAAGUAGUGAAAAUAUUAAAUAGCCAAAAGAAAAUGUCCAAGUUGAGAAAAGAGAAAAAAAAAAUCUUAAGUAUGGUCCCAAAAUCUUUAUCAAAAACACGUGUUUAUGACUUAAAUAUUACAUUAGAUAACAUUAAGUUUCCUUUGCUCUUAAUCCAUAUGUCUUCAAAGAAAAUGUGAAGUGAUCUCUCUAUCUUUCCAAUCUUUGUUGUUUUGUUUAAAAAACUUUAUUCGAGAAAGAAAAAAAUUUCGAAAAGAUGAAGUGAAGCCGGUUUAGUACCGUACCAUUUAGUUUUUAGUGUUGAGUUUUUGAAAAUUAACUCUAUAAACAUUUAUUCCACUCUAAAUAUUUAGCUUCGUUUUCUACUCUUUACCAAUGUUUUCAACAAUAUAUAUUUUAAUUUUUUACCUAUGUCCCGAAAAGCAAAUCAAACCCAAAUUUGAAAACUAAAACAAAUAGUUUUCAAAACUCUUGUUUUUGUUUAGAAAAUAUAGACUUGACUUUAAAAAAUAAAAAGGAAAUUGGAAAAUUGGUUCCCAACCAAACCUAAAAGAGACAGUAUUGUUUUUAUUUUUAGAAAAUUGAAAAUUGAGCAAAAACCCAAUAAAUAUUAGUCUUUGGACAUUGAUUUUGGUUUGGGUUCAGUGCAUUUGGAUCUUUGCAUUUCUUAAUAUUCUAAGUUUGACUUUUGAAUAUGAAUUUUCAAUAAAACGAAGGUAAAAGGAAAGAAGAAAGAAGGAAGAAGAAAAGCUUUGUUGUUGGGAAUGAAGGAAAGAGGAGAUGGUAGGUUUUGUUGAGGAAAGUCCCAAAAGGGUUCUCUCUUUCUAAUUCUCUUUCAAAAGGAUAUAAUGGUGCUUUAACGUUCAUCUUUUAUCUUUUUGUUUUUUCAGGUAUUACUUUGCCUUUUGCCUUCACCUUCUUCUUCUUCCUUCUUCCUUUUCUUCUUUUCUCACCUUUCUUCUGGUUCUCAACCAUUUUUCCUCUUCCCAAUAUUAUGUUUUAAUUUGGUGCUGAUUUCUUUCAUGUGAAGAUUAUUAUUAUUUGAGCCUUUCUUCAUCUUAAAUCAUGCUUUUCAUCCUUUUUUCUCUCUUUUUAUCUUUUGCAUGUCAUCUCAACUUGUUGUUUUCUUCUUCUUUCUUCCAGAAUUUAUCAACUCUAAUCAUACUUUCUCUUUUGAUAGGAGAGAAAAGAAGUAAUAGUGUGAUUUUAGUACCAUGCAAAGCUGGAACUGUGUUUGACUUACAAUUGGAUUUCUAGUUCAAUUCAAUACUAUGCAUUACUAACACUUAAUUUAUCUUAAAUAUCUUAAAUGAAAGUUUGAAUUUAAAUUUAAACUGAGUAUAAGAACACAUUAUCAAUGAGUGUUGCCAUAAAAGACUUCAAAUUAAUCAAACAUCAAAACUAAAAGAUUACAUCUAUCAUGAUAAAUUGAGUUCAAUCACUCAUAAUCACCCAUAAAAUCCUAAACUAUCCUCAAAGUCCAAAAUAAAAAGAAAAUAAUAAGAAGAAGAAGAACAAUAAUAAUAAACUAAUAUCCUCAAAGUCCAAAAUAAUAAUAAUAAAACUACUGAAUAAAGGGAAAUAAUAAAAUCCUACUAGACGUUGACCAGAAAGAAAGUGUUUUUUCAAAAAUUAAUUUUCACUUAAACACUUUCUUAAAAAUUAAUUUUCCCUUGAACACUUUCUUAAAAGUUUUUAUGUUACAAGUUUGUUUCAUUUUCUGUCAAGAACCAUUGUUAAACAGUAUAAAGUAAUAAUGAAAGGAUAAUUGUAAUUGAUGGUCAUUUGAUGAAUAAUAAUUAAGAUUAUAAGAAUAUUUUUAAAAAAAAUUGCAAAUAUAACAAAACUAUCACGGAUAGACUUGAGUCAUUGAUAAACUCGUAUAAUCUAUAAGUGAUAUAUAAACCAAUAUUUACAAUAUGGUCUAUCGGUGAUAGAAUUUGAUAAAUUUUGCUAUAUUUGUAAAUUUUUACUUAAUUAUUUUGAAUCUAAUUGUUAAAUUUGCAACUAUAAAAAAUAUUUUUUGAUUGAGGUGAGUUUUUUCUUUUUUUGUUGUAUUAUUGAUUUCAUGGUUCAAAGACUAGUUUGAGUUUUUUGAGAAGACUCUUACCUAUUUCCAAAAGGCUUUAAAAAGUUUAAAUCCAAAUGGAUUGUUUUAAUACUCACCAUUCUCUUUGUGUGAUAUUUUCUUAGUGUAGUGUAGAGUUAAAAUUGAGGACACCAAAAAUGGAGAUAAAAAAUGGUGUAGAUGGAAACUCAAAUAAUACACAUCAACCAACCUCAUCAAGAGCCAACGAAACUGAGAAAAGCUCCAACAACAAUGAAAACCAACAAGAUUUUAACAACAAAAAUGGUGAUGGGAAGACGAAUUCAGUUCCAUUCUAUAAGUUAUUCUCAUUUGCAGAUUCAAACGAUGUUCUUUUGAUGAUCAUUGGCUCCAUUGGCGCCAUAGGGAAUGGACUCAGUCUACCCCUUAUGACUAUUGUGUUUGGAGAAUUGACAGAUUCAUUUGGUGUUAACCAAAGCAGCUCAAACAUAGUUAAAGUAGUUUCAAAGGUGAAACUAUAUGUUAUGAUUUAUGAAGAAUCCAUUUUUGUAUUCCUACACCAUGAACAAACUUCAUUUCAUUAACUUUGUUACCUCCUCAAAAUGUUGUGCAGGUCUGCCUUAAAUUUGUGUACUUAGGAAUUGGAUGUGGCGUAGCGGCUUUCAUCCGUAAGAAAUUUUUCGGUACCAAGUUUUAUUGAGUUCAAGAUAUAUAUUAUGGUUGUUUAAUUCUUUGUUUGUUUACAUGUAUCAGAGGUGUCUAGUUGGAUGGUUACAGGGGAGAGGCAAGCUUCAAGAAUAAGGGGUUUGUAUCUCAAAACUAUAUUGAGACAGGAUGUUUCUUUCUUUGACAUGGAAACGAACACCGGAGAGGUGGUCGAGAGGAUGUCAGGAGACACUGUUCUUAUACAAGAUGCAAUGGGGGAGAAGGUAACAACAUUUUAGUAUGAAAAUUAAGCUUAAAACCCCAUUACAUGUAUAUAUUCGUGAGUGAUAGUGUUUAAGAAAUUCUUAUCUUCUUCAUUCAGGUUGGAAAAUGUAUACAACUUGUAUCAACAUUCUUUGGAGGCUUUAUAAUAGCUUUCAUUAAAGGGUGGCUUUUAACACUGGUCAUGUUAUCCUCCUUUCCUCUCCUUGUGAUUUUUGGGGGUAUUACGUCGAUCAUUGUUACGAAAAUGGCAUAUCGUGGUCAAAAUGCUUAUGCAAAAGCAGCCGACGUCGUUGAGCAAACAAUCAGCUCAAUUAGAACUGUAUGUUAUAUAUUGUCCAAACAUCAUAGUUUAUUUUUUUGGAUUAUUUGUUUUGUUAUGACAGAAACAAAUCGACAAGCAAGAAACACGAACAGUGUAGAAAUAGCACAUGGCUUACAAACAAUGUGUUAGCUAUAUGGUACUCAAACAUGUUCUUUAGGACUUCUUACUCUUGAAGUUGAUACUUUAAUUCUUUGUAGGUUGUCUCAUUUACCGGUGAGAAACAAGCUGUGACAAAUUAUAAAAAAUUUCUUGUAAAUGCUUAUCGAUCGGGUGUUCACGAAGGUUUGGCCGUGGGAAUCGGUUUUGGCACUGUUUCAGCAGUACUUCUCUUCAGCGAUUCAUUGGCUAUAUGGUAUGGUGCAAAGUUGAUACUGGAUAAAGGAUACACCGGAGGCGAAGUUCUGAACGUGCUCAUUGCCGUAAUAACUGGUUCCAUGUGGGCUUUAUUUGCAUUUCUUUCACUACGUACACAUUACAAAGUUUAUCAGCUGAAUUCCCUUUUAAUAUAUACUUGCUUUGUGCUCAAUGUUUCUAUCAGGUCUUUGGGCCAAGCAUCUCCAUGCCUAAGUGCAUUUGCUGCUGGCCGAGCUGCAGCCUUUAAAAUGUUUGAAACAAUCAAGAGGAAGCCGCUAAUCGAUGCUUACGACAUGGAAGGAAAGAUAUUAGACGACAUUUCGGGCGACAUAGAAUUGAGAGAUAUUCAUUUUAGCUAUCCUACUAGACCAAAUGAGCAGAUUUUCAAUGGGUUUUCCCUAAAAAUUCCGAGUGGGACGACUGCUGCUUUGGUUGGACAAAGUGGAAGUGGGAAAUCAACUGUGAUAAGUUUGAUUGAGAGAUUCUAUGAUCCAAGUAUGGGUGAAGUUCUUAUUGAUGGCAUCAACCUCAAAGAGUUUCAACUAAAAUGGAUUAGAAUCAAAAUUGGUCUUGUCAGCCAAGAACCUGUGUUGUUUGCAUCUAGCAUAAUGGAUAACAUCGCUUACGGAAAAGAUGGCGCAACCAUGGAAGAGAUAAAAAUAGCAGCUGAACUUGCCAAUGCUUCGAAAUUUAUCGACAAAUUACCUCA